Molecule: ribosomal RNA, 253 nt
Filed under: uncultured bacterium
Lineage: Bacteria
Description: partial 16S ribosomal RNA
Rfam family: Bacterial small subunit ribosomal RNA
Source: RNAcentral
UACGAAGGGGGCUAGCGUUGCUCGGAAUCACUGGACGUAAAGCGCACGUAGGCGGCUUCUUAAGUCAGGGGUGAAAUCCUGGAGCUCAACUCCAGAACUGCCUUUGAUACUGAGGAGCUUGAGUUCGGGAGAGGUGAGUGGAACUCCGAGUGUAGAGGUGAAAUUCGUAGAUAUUCGGAAGAACACCAGUGGCGAAGGCGGCUCACUGGCCCGAUACUGGCGCUGAGGUGAGAAAGCGUGGGGAGCAAACAGG